RNAcentral lists this ribosomal RNA (433 nucleotides) under uncultured bacterium. RNAcentral's name for it is "partial 16S ribosomal RNA". It matches the Rfam family "Bacterial small subunit ribosomal RNA", at positions 28 to 507 of the family's 1533-position model. The record is from RNAcentral.
GACGAACGCUGGCGGCAGGCCUAACACAUGCAAGUCGAGCGGACCUUUCGGGGUCAGCGGCGGACGGGUGAGUAACGCGUGGGAAUAUGCCCUUCUCUACGGAAUAGUCCUGGGAAACUGGGGGUAAUACCGUAUACGCCCUUUGGGGGAAAGAUUUAUCGGGGAAGGAUUAGCCCGCGUUGGAUUAGGUAGUUGGUGGGGUAAUGGCCUACCAAGCCGACGAUCCAUAGCUGGUUUGAGAGGAUGAUCAGCCACACUGGGACUGAGACACGGCCCAGACUCCUACGGGAGGCAGCAGUGGGGAAUCAUAGACAAUGGGGGCAACCCUGAUCUAGCCAUGCCGCGUGAGUGAUGAAGGCCUUAGGGUUGUAAAGCUCUUUCAGCUGGGAAGAUAAUGACGGUACCAGCAGAAGAAGCCCCGGCUAACUCCGUG